Panicum virgatum (switchgrass) is the source of this 1027-nucleotide long non-coding RNA. RefSeq lists it as uncharacterized. The record is from RefSeq and is a predicted model, not a curated record. NCBI's taxonomy places the organism in Eukaryota, Viridiplantae, Streptophyta, Magnoliopsida, Poales, Poaceae. The transcript is spliced from 2 exons.
UUGCUUAUCAGUAGUCAAACUAGAUCCCACUAAUUGCAUUUGGCCGUCGUGAAUGCCUGAAUGUAGCAUUUCCUCUGUUCAGUAAUUUUGCGUCCUGGGCUCCUGGAUUGUGAGCCAUCUGUACUUCCUACUAUGAGUUGGUUCCGACAAAAUGUACACAUAUUAGAUGUGCUGCAGCCGUCAUUUGGAAUCUAUUACCUUAAUGCAACAGUGUUAAAAGAAGCCACCAUGUUCGCCGAAAGGGUCUAGAAAUUCUCACGUUAAUCUAAAAAAGAGAAGGAUAUAGAUCACAAUGUAUAUUUGGUUCACAUGAUUAAUUUUGAAUUUGGCAUUUCUAGAAGCAGAUAAUGAGAAUGCUGAGCUGUGGAGGUCUUCGUUGUUUCUGUGGAACAAGAACGAUUGUGGUAGUUUCUACCUGUUGUUGUUUCUGUGGAACAAGAACGAUUGUGGUAGUUUCUACCUGUUGUUCUGCAUGCCGCCCUUUUAGCUAUACCUUCUUGAGUAGUGGUGCUGCCAUGUAGGUGUGUUGCAGCGACUGUAGAUUAAUCAUCUGUGCAGAAUGUCAGCCCACUCAGGGCCCCAUCACCAACCCAGUUCAUUCUGUAUUUGAAAGCUCACAAGUUACUCGAUCAGAAUCUAGACUGCCACAAGUUACUCGAUCGCCCUUAGAUAAUUGAUCGUAUGUGAAGGUACUGCUGAAGACUGAACGGGACUGAUGUCAUCAUUGUGUAGUAAAAGCAAAUUUAGUGCUGGAAUUGCUGGAUGAAAAUUGAACAGGAGUGCCUUCUGCAUUGUUGUGGCUGUUGUUGAGACAACAAACCUGUGGUUCACAGAGGUACUGAAAUUGACGUAUCCGUCGAAGGACGUAUGCGGGUUAACAGUUGUGAUCAUGUGGAGUCGUUUUCUUUUUCAUUUAUCAUUGGAUUGCGUCGGUCAGUUGUACGCAUCAGUUUCACAGUCGGUCUUCCGUCAAUUAUCCUCGCUUCGACAAUACCGCCCAGUGCAUUGUGCUGUGCUUAUCCUGCGA